Molecule: long non-coding RNA, 4098 nt
Filed under: Triticum aestivum (bread wheat)
Lineage: Eukaryota; Viridiplantae; Streptophyta; Magnoliopsida; Poales; Poaceae
Description: long non-coding RNA (TAES_LNC002164)
Source: RNAcentral
UGAGACCAAAAUUUCAAGGCCGGAUAGCUUGUCAGGUCCAGUGAAAAAUGGGCCCAACCAGACCUCUCGGCCUUAAAAAAAAGCUAGAAGAUCAUCAACACCUGAAUGCAUUUUUGCCUCAAAAAAAUAACCUGAAUGCAUUUUGCAAACAAAACAAAUCAGCAGCUCGAUGUAUUUUCAAGAUCAAUUAAUGAAUUUCAAUUAUAUUCCGGCUCACAAGGCUAACAAUUCCCAACACCAUUGGCGACGGGAAUCGUCAGCAUAUGCAUAUUGCGUAGGCUCCCAAAUUCCUCCUUUUCUAAUGAGAAGUUGGAACUGGAGUGUUCUCACCUUGUUGACUUCAAAGCAAAACUUGCCCUCCAACCAGCCAAUCUGCGAGGGUUCCUUGCCCUCCAACCAGCCAAGCUAAUCACCCUGUUGAUUACUUCGUUUCCUGAAACAAGAGACAACAUAAAUGACGUUAAACUACAUCUUUAAACAAAACCUUCGACAAUGACAAAGAGGUACUUUAUUUGUCGCGUGGAUGACUUUCCGUGUUCUUGCUCGAAUUCUUUCAUCAGACGGUAAGCAUCAAUAGUGAUGUCCAAUUAAAAAAAAAAGCGGUGUCACAUCUCAAAACGAAAACAAAAGAAAGAAUGAGGCAACACGCCGAAGAAUCAGGGUCAAGGUCUCCCCCGCUGGUAUGAUUAGUGAUAUCAGUUGUGGUACUUAAACUAACUAACACCUUAUCGCUUGAGCACCAUACCAACUUGUGUUUACUUGUUUGCAGGCGCAAACCUACUCCAAAUCAGUUUAACAUGGUCUGGUAUGCUGUUUGCAAACAUGUAACAUGAGUAAUCAGCGUCCAGCUAUGCUGGUUUUCGUAGCUAGCAUUUUACUCCCAGCAGCGGCAACACUGGCCGGAGCCUCUUCCGGGCGCUCCGUCUCGCUGCCAAGCUGCCCCGACAAGUGCGGCGACGUUCCCAUCCCAUACCCCUUUGGCAUCGGCACACACUGCGCCGCGACCAGCCUGAGCAGCUACUUCAACCUCACCUGCAACGGCACGAUCGAUCCACCGCGGCCAAUGGUCGGCAAUGACGAGGCAGUGGUUGAGAUCACCGACAUCUCGCUGGAGCACGGUGAGAUGCGUGUGCUCAGCCCCGUCAACCACAUCUGCUUCACUUCGGACACCACGUUCACCAAGUUCCUCGGAGGGUACGAGCUGCAACUCACGCCCUUCCUGCCCUCCCCAUCGCGCAACCGCUUCACGGUAAUCGGCUGCAACACGCUUGGGCUCAUCAGCGGGUACAAAGGCACCGCGAGCCAGUACGUGGCUGGUUGCUACUCCUACUGCGAGGGCGUCAACAACACGACUGAAGGCGCGCCGUGUGCUGGGAUGGGAUGCUGCGAGGCUGCCAUCCCUGCAAACCUCACCUCCUUCGGGGUCAAGUUUGAGAUGAACCAGAGCAAGGUAUGGGGCUUCAACCCGUGCUUCUACGCCAUGGUGGCGGAGGUUGGGUGGUACAACUUCAGGCAGCAGGACCUCGUCGGCAGACUUGGGUUCGUUGAUGAUCGAGCCCAGAGAGGCGCCCCCGUUGUCGCUGACUGGGCCAUUAGGAACGCCUCAUGCCCGGAGGAGGGGAAGGACAUGCCCAAUGACUAUGCCUGCAUCAGUGUCAACAGUCAUUGUGUGGCCGCAAACAAUGGUCCAGGGUACUUAUGCCAGUGUUCCAAAGGAUAUGAAGGAAAUCCUUAUCUUUUGAACGGCUGUCAAGGUUAAGUAUCUACUCAAAUUUAACUUCUGUGGUUUUCCAGGGAUAGUUCUCUGAAAACUGAUGCAAUUCUGGACCAUAUCUCAGUGUUAGUUCCACAAGAUAUAGAUUCAUGAAAAAUUAGUGCUCGACACAAGUCUUCAAAUUUUUUGCUAGUAGCAAAAGGCAACACUCAUAUAGUCAUAUUUGAUUUCUACCACACCUAAAGAAAGAACUGGAAAAUAAUGGCCUUCUUUUGUGGUGUGUAUUGUUUAUUUUAACACAUGACUUAAUGUUACUUUAGAACAAGUAAUGCAUAGGGAAUUUUACAGCAUUACAAAGUGAAUUGACUGGUUGUCUUCAUUACUCGUUGAAACUUUCUUCGGCUGACAUAUAACAAUGAAAAUAAUGUGUGUUUAGUUUGACUAUUGAGUGCAUGUUCUUGUUAUUGUCUUCAGACACAGAUGAGUGCGCAUUGCGUAAGCAGAACACCAAGUAUAAAGAUUUGUAUCCAUGCACAAAAGGGGUCUGCCACAACACACCAGGAAGCUACUUUUGCAAAUGCAAGAAAGGAACAAAAUCUGACGGUACAGAUUUUGGAUGCCAGUCUCUGCAUUCGCCAGCUGACAAAAUGGUUAUUGGUAAGUAUCAUCUAUGUAAAGAGGUUACCUUUGCUUCAGAUUUUCAUCUACAUUAAGGUGUGUCUCCUAAUGACGAACACCGACGUAAUACUAACAUAUAAUAUUAAUGCUAGACACUACUUAGAAGCAAAAAGGAAGAGGAAGUCAAAAUCUGCAACAGAAAUUUACUAGAAAUAUAUUUUUACAGGCCUCAGUGUUUCUGCAACGGUGGUGAUGGCCUUAGCAUGCUUGUUGCUCAUGCAAUUACAAAGGAAAAAGCACAAGAAGGAGAAAGAUGAGUAUUUCAAACAAAAUGGAGGUCUCAAGUUAUAUGAUGAGAUGAGGUCAAGGCAGGUUGACACAAUUCGUAUACUUACUGAAAAAGAGAUAAAGAGAGCCACUGAUAACUACAAUGAAGAUCGAGUUAUUGGCUGUGGCGGCCAUGGGAUGGUAUACAGAGGAACUUUGGAUGACCAAAAAGAGGUCGCCAUCAAGAAGUCCAAAGUAAUCAGCGAUGAUUGGAGGGAAGAAUUUGUCAAUGAGAUAAUAGUCUUAUCACAAAUCAAUCACCGAAACAUUGUGAGGUUGCUAGGCUGUUGUUUAGAUGUGGAUGUCCCAAUGUUGGUCUACGAGUUCGUCCCCGGUGGUACUUUAUCUGAGUUUCUUCAUGGCGCUGGUUGUAAAUCACCAAUCCCUUUGGAUCUUCGCCUGAAGAUUGCUACACAGUCAGCAGAAGCUCUGGCUUACUUACAUUCUUCGACAUCUCGCACAAUCCUACAUGGGGAUGUCAAGUCUGCCAACAUUCUCUUGGAUGAUCAGCUCAACGCAAAAGUUGGCGAUUUCGGAGCAUCAGCACUUAAGUCCAUGGAUGAAAGUGAAUUCAUCAUGUUUGUUCAUGGAACACUCGGCUACCUUGACCCAGAGAGCUUUAUCAGUCGUCAUCUCACUGACAAAAGUGAUGUAUACAGCUUCGGGGUGGUUCUUCUGGAGCUGAUGACAAGAAAGAGGGCUAUAUAUACGGACAACUUCAACGAAAAGGAAUCAUUGUCAUAUAGUUUUCCCUUGAUGUUUCAAAAGAGGAGACACCUUGUUAUGCUGGACACUGAAAUUACAGAUGAUGCAGUUAUGGUGGUGCUUGAGAACAUGGCUGAACUUGCAGUGCAGUGCCUUAGCCCAAAGGGAGAUGACAGGCCAACGAUGAAGGAAGUCGCUGAGAGCCUACAGAUGAUGAGGAGACUCCGAGUGCACUCAGCUAGUGAUCCUGAAAAUAAUCACUAUACACAUAGCUAUGGAGGAUCAUCUUCGGUUGUGGUCCCUUUGGAAGAGACAACACGUGGGACCAUCGAUAUGUCAGAACUGGUUGAAGAUCUUUCAAGAUGAUGUUUGUAAUUUUGUAUGGACAGUCAAUUCUUUUGUUUGUGAUAUGUGACAAUAAAUAUUUAACCCCCACUGUUGCAAUAGUUACACCAAUUUAUGGGGCAAGGAUCAUAACAUUCGAUUUGACAUGCCAGAGAAAUCACCACAUACAUCACUGUUUUACUUUUGAUAAAACACACACCACUGCAUGUAUGGAACAUGUAGAUUAUAGGCGUAUAGUUUGAUUAUGAGUAUACAGACUUUGUUUUGGCCAUUUAAUUUGUAAAUGGUACCAUUUGAACUAAGACAUAUCCACUUAUGCAACACAAUACGGAUUUUAUUAGUUCCAUAACAGAAAUCGGAAUUUACCUGUGCUGGGUGGGGAAUGAGUG